UUAAGUUAUUAAGGGCGCACGGUGGAUGCCUUGGCACUAGAAGCCGAUGAAGGACGUUACUAACGACGAUAUGCUUUGGGGAGCUGUAAGUAAGCUUUGAUCCAGAGAUUUCCGAAUGGGGAAACCCAGCAUGAGUUAUGUCAUGUUAUCGAUAUGUGAAUACAUAGCAUAUCAGAAGGCACACCCGGAGAACUGAAACAUCUUAGUACCCGGAGGAAGAGAAAGAAAAUUCGAUUCCCUUAGUAGCGGCGAGCGAAACGGGAAGAGCCCAAACCAACAAGCUUGCUUGUUGGGGUUGUAGGACACUCUAUACGGAGUUACAAAGGACGACAUUAGACGAAUCAUCUGGAAAGAUGAAUCAAAGAAGGUAAUAAUCCUGUAGUCGAAAAUGUUGUCUCUCUUGAGUGGAUCCUGAGUACGACGGAGCACGUGAAAUUCCGUCGGAAUCUGGGAGGACCAUCUCCUAAGGCUAAAUACUCUCUAGUGACCGAUAGUGAACCAGUACCGUGAGGGAAAGGUGAAAAGCACCCCGGAAGGGGAGUGAAAUAGAACCUGAAACCGUGUGCUUACAAGUAGUCAGAGCCCGUUAAUGGGUGAUGGCGUGCCUUUUGUAGAAUGAACCGGCGAGUUACGAUUUGAUGCAAGGUUAAGCAGUAAAUGUGGAGCCGUAGCGAAAGCGAGUCUGAAUAGGGCGUUUAGUAUUUGGUCGUAGACCCGAAACCAGGUGAUCUACCCUUGGUCAGGUUGAAGUUCAGGUAACACUGAAUGGAGGACCGAACCGACUUACGUUGAAAAGUGAGCGGAUGAACUGAGGGUAGCGGAGAAAUUCCAAUCGAACCUGGAGAUAGCUGGUUCUCUCCGAAAUAGCUUUAGGGCUAGCCUCAAGUGAUGAUUAUUGGAGGUAGAGCACUGUUUGGACGAGGGGCCCCUCUCGGGUUACCGAAUUCAGACAAACUCCGAAUGCCAAUUAAUUUAACUUGGGAGUCAGAACAUGGGUGAUAAGGUCCGUGUUCGAAAGGGAAACAGCCCAGACCACCAGCUAAGGUCCCAAAAUAUAUGUUAAGUGGAAAAGGAUGUGGCGUUGCCCAGACAACUAGGAUGUUGGCUUAGAAGCAGCCAUCAUUUAAAGAGUGCGUAAUAGCUCACUAGUCGAGUGACACUGCGCCGAAAAUGUACCGGGGCUAAACAUAUUACCGAAGCUGUGGAUUGUCCUUUGGACAAUGGUAGGAGAGCGUUCUAAGGGCGUUGAAGCAUGAUCGUAAGGACAUGUGGAGCGCUUAGAAGUGAGAAUGCCGGUGUGAGUAGCGAAAGACGGGUGAGAAUCCCGUCCACCGAUUGACUAAGGUUUCCAGAGGAAGGCUCGUCCGCUCUGGGUUAGUCGGGUCCUAAGCUGAGGCCGACAGGCGUAGGCGAUGGAUAACAGGUUGAUAUUCCUGUACCACCUAUAAUCGUUUUAAUCGAUGGGGGGACGCAGUAGGAUAGGCGAAGCGUGCGAUUGGAUUGCACGUCUAAGCAGUAAGGCUGAGUAUUAGGCAAAUCCGGUACUCGUUAAGGCUGAGCUGUGAUGGGGAGAAGACAUUGUGUCUUCGAGUCGUUGAUUUCACACUGCCGAGAAAAGCCUCUAGAUAGAAAAUAGGUGCCCGUACCGCAAACCGACACAGGUAGUCAAGAUGAGAAUUCUAAGGUGAGCGAGCGAACUCUCGUUAAGGAACUCGGCAAAAUGACCCCGUAACUUCGGGAGAAGGGGUGCUCUUUAGGGUUAACGCCCAGAAGAGCCGCAGUGAAUAGGCCCAAGCGACUGUUUAUCAAAAACACAGGUCUCUGCUAAACCGUAAGGUGAUGUAUAGGGGCUGACGCCUGCCCGGUGCUGGAAGGUUAAGAGGAGUGGUUAGCUUCUGCGAAGCUACGAAUCGAAGCCCCAGUAAACGGCGGCCGUAACUAUAACGGUCCUAAGGUAGCGAAAUUCCUUGUCGGGUAAGUUCCGACCCGCACGAAAGGCGUAACGAUUUGGGCACUGUCUCAACGAGAGACUCGGUGAAAUCAUAGUACCUGUGAAGAUGCAGGUUACCCGCGACAGGACGGAAAGACCCCGUGGAGCUUUACUGUAGCCUGAUAUUGAAAUUCGGCACAGCUUGUACAGGAUAGGUAGGAGCCUUUGAAACGUGAGCGCUAGCUUACGUGGAGGCGCUGGUGGGAUACUACCCUAGCUGUGUUGGCUUUCUAACCCGCACCACUUAUCGUGGUGGGAGACAGUGUCAGGCGGGCAGUUUGACUGGGGCGGUCGCCUCCUAAAAGGUAACGGAGGCGCUCAAAGGUUCCCUCAGAAUGGUUGGAAAUCAUUCAUAGAGUGUAAAGGCAUAAGGGAGCUUGACUGCGAGACCUACAAGUCGAGCAGGGUCGAAAGACGGACUUAGUGAUCCGGUGGUUCCGCAUGGAAGGGCCAUCGCUCAACGGAUAAAAGCUACCCCGGGGAUAACAGGCUUAUCUCCCCCAAGAGUUCACAUCGACGGGGAGGUUUGGCACCUCGAUGUCGGCUCAUCGCAUCCUGGGGCUGUAGUCGGUCCCAAGGGUUGGGCUGUUCGCCCAUUAAAGCGGUACGCGAGCUGGGUUCAGAACGUCGUGAGACAGUUCGGUCCCUAUCCGUCGUGGGCGUAGGAAAUUUGAGAGGAGCUGUCCUUAGUACGAGAGGACCGGGAUGGACAUACCUCUGGUGUACCAGUUGUCGUGCCAACGGCAUAGCUGGGUAGCUAUGUGUGGACGGGAUAAGUGCUGAAAGCAUCUAAGCAUGAAGCCCCCCUCAAGAUGAGAUUUCCCAACUUCGGUUAUAAGAUCCCUCAAAGAUGAUGAGGUUAAU
Molecule: ribosomal RNA, 2854 nt
Filed under: Staphylococcus aureus VET0452R
Lineage: Bacteria; Bacillati; Bacillota; Bacilli; Caryophanales; Staphylococcaceae
Description: bacterial LSU rRNA
Rfam family: Bacterial large subunit ribosomal RNA
Source: RNAcentral